Long non-coding RNA from Anopheles merus, 1413 nucleotides. RefSeq lists it as uncharacterized. NCBI's taxonomy places the organism in Eukaryota, Metazoa, Arthropoda, Insecta, Diptera, Culicidae. The transcript has 3 exons. The record is from RefSeq and is a predicted model, not a curated record.
CCCGGCACCAUCAUCGUUUGUAUUUACAGCGUGCAAAGUAUUGUUUUUGCGCUCCAAUUUUCGCAUAUUUGUUUCCAUCGUCACCAAUGGCGAUACCGAACCCAGGGUGUCAUCUCCAACGGCGAGGUUAUUUGUUUGGCUUGUUUGCCGUCCUGAAAUGACAACGCUGCCCGACGAACAUGUUAUCGCUAAUUUAUGUCAACAAAUUCGUCCGGUCCCUGCUGCGUCACGAAGCAAAUCCCCUUCGGAACCUCGUCGGCGCAAAACUCAAACAUCGAUCGCACACUGACUGGGCGAAGCUUCCUGAUUGCGCCUAGUGGGUUGUAACCUCCAUUGUAUUGUUAGAAGAUUUUUCCGUUCGUAGCCUCGCCAGAAAUGCUUCAUCGUGAACUGAGGAGGUUUCAAUGCAGGCCACUGUUUGUUAAAAGACAUUUCAUACACGCAGGUAUAUCGUAUGGAAAUUAAUCUACGCUUGGGCACUUGGAGCUUAGGUGUUAAGAGAGAGAGAUUUAACAUUGGCAUACAUUUUUCCAACAGCUACCUAUCGACCAGGUGGCUGUUUCAGUCAUGCUACAGUACAGUACAGUGCUACAGCAUAGCAUUCGCCGGGUUGAAUUAGAGUCAGUUUGCACAGGAUGCGAUGAAUAUUUAGUUUCGCAUCCGACGUUUCCGUUUCGCAAGUUUUGUUUGCGUAGGACGCGUUGUUACUAGGAAAAUGGCUAUUUAUAUUGAGCGAGAGAGAAAGAAAACGUCAAAAGAUGUAGUAGACUAUGCGUUUAGCAAACGGUUGCUGAUGCUGGUUUGAGCUGAACGAUACGAUUUCGUUCGGCAACAACACCGUCAGCAGUUCAACAAGUCAGAGAUGCGUGUGCAGCGCUGAAGGGAUUGACUUAACGUUUGUAAAUUGCAGGAGAAAAGCUUUUUGUUUAAAGAGUCGAAGAUGAUUGAAUGAAACAUUUUUGUUUUUCUAUUUUUUAUGCAGGUUGAGAGACAGUAGAUUUGAUGAAAGGUUGUAUUUUAAAUCAAAUGAUAGUGGUUGAGCCAUUUGAAACAGCACACGAAAGGGUCAUUAUGACAAUAUAACGUAUGAAAUGCUUCCACAGAUAACGGAUGGCAACGACGGAGACAGUGGGAAGGCAAAUACAAACAAAUAUAAGCAAGCAAAUCGGGUGCAUCGAUAGAGGAUGGCGGCACAUGUGUGUGAUGAAACAUUCGUAGAAAAGCUACUCUUGUGAGAUUUCUUUGGACAUUCUCAAUUCUAGUACAUCCCCCAAUACUAGAAAGAAUCUAUACAAUACUAGCAUAUUCGAAAAUUGGACGUACCAGAGAACAAUAGAGAGUCCUUAAGCGAGUAGGAUUCCUAAAAUCGGACAGUGUCCGAAGAAUGAACUUCAGGGUUUGAUAGGCUUUCGC